GUUCUUAUGGCAUAAUAUAAUUGCCUAGCAUUCAGUGUUUUCAACGCUUAUGAAUUUUAGCAGUUUUUUUUUUAAUUUUGUUCAACAGAAGACUACCAAGGAUGAAUACACUUCAAAGGAAUGCAAAAAGUCAGUGAGGAGUACCGGGUUCCCAUUACCACUCCACUUUGAUUUGAAGAGGUUUCACCUAAGCAGAGAACUGGAAACUGAAUUGAUGUCCAUCAAUUGGGGAAUUAUGAUUGUAUAUGUAUAUGAUUGUAAUGCAACACUAUGAUGCCAUAAGAAAUGACACACAAAACAAUCACAAAAAACCUGAAAAUACUUAUAUGAAGCGAUGUGAAGUGAAGUGAGUAGAACCAGAAGAACAUUGUACACUGGAACAACAAUAAUAUUAUGAUCAACUGUGAAGAAAUUAACUAUUUUCAACAAGGCAAGGAUCCAAAACAACUCCAAGGGACUUAUGAUGAAAAAGUCUAUCUGUAGCCAUUAGAGGGGAUAGAUGGAGUCCAAAAGUGAAUUGAAACAUGCCUUUGUUCACUUUAUUUCCUCCAUGAAUUUUUCUUUAAAUGUAAGCAAGGGGUGGAGUUAGAGAAAGAACAUUGAUAGCAAAGUAUCACAAAAUGAAUACUAAAUAUUGUAUUUACAUGUAAUGUGGAA
Long non-coding RNA from Monodelphis domestica (gray short-tailed opossum), 657 nucleotides. NCBI's taxonomy places the organism in Eukaryota, Metazoa, Chordata, Mammalia, Didelphimorphia, Didelphidae. The record is from Ensembl.